UGUUUCGGCUAGGGGGCCAUCCCGGCUUACCAACCCGAUGCAAACUGCGAAUACCGGAGAAUGUUAUCACGGGAGACACACGGCGGGUGCUAACGUCCGUCGUGAAGAGGGAAACAACCCAGACCGCCAGCUAAGGUCCCAAAGUCAUGGUUAAGUGGGAAACGAUGUGGGAAGGCCCAGACAGCCAGGAUGUUGGCUUAGAAGCAGCCAUCAUUUAAAGAAAGCGUAAUAGCUCACUGGUCGAGUCGGCCUGCGCGGAAGAUGUAACGGGGCUAAACCAUGCACCGAAGCUGCGGCAGCGACGCUGAUGCGUUGUUGGGUAGGGGAGCGUUCUGUAAGCC
Molecule: ribosomal RNA, 341 nt
Filed under: Salmonella enterica subsp. enterica serovar Oranienburg
Lineage: Bacteria; Pseudomonadati; Pseudomonadota; Gammaproteobacteria; Enterobacterales; Enterobacteriaceae
Description: partial 23S ribosomal RNA
Rfam family: Bacterial large subunit ribosomal RNA
Source: RNAcentral